Melanotaenia boesemani (Boeseman's rainbowfish) is the source of this 201-nucleotide long non-coding RNA. RefSeq lists it as uncharacterized. NCBI's taxonomy places the organism in Eukaryota, Metazoa, Chordata, Actinopteri, Atheriniformes, Melanotaeniidae. The record is from RefSeq and is a predicted model, not a curated record. The transcript has 3 exons.
CUCAAGCCUGCACCGUCUUGUCGGGACAGCUGUCGGCCCGUUGAGUCUGGAAAAUCCUGAGGCACGUCUGGGUCACACACCUCACGAGGCUGAGUGUUGGUCUUAUGAUGCCCCCCACUGGUGACAGGAGAAGCAACAUCUGGUUGGAGCAAUGACCACAUGCACUGUUGUUGGCAGGAAACGUUUGCAGACGCUCUUUAG